UUAAGUUAAUAAGGGCGCACGGUGGAUGCCUUGGCACUAGAAGCCGAUGAAGGACGUGACUAACGACGAAAUGCUUUGGGGAGCUGUAAGUGAGCAAUGAUCCAGAGAUGUCCGAAUGGGGGAACCCGGCAGGUAAUGCCUGUCACUCAUUACUGUUAAGGUAAUGUAGAGGAAGACGCAGUGAACUGAAACAUCUAAGUAGCUGUAGGAAGAGAAAGCAAAAGCGAUUGCCUUAGUAGCGGCGAGCGAAACGGCAAGAGGGCAAACCGAAGAGUUUACUCUUCGGGGUUGUAGGACUGCAACGUGGACUUAAAGAUUAUAGAAGAACUACCUGGGAAGGUAGGCCAAAGAGAGUAAUAGCCUCGUAUUCGAAAUAGUCUUUAUACCUAGCAGUAUCCUGAGUACGGCGAGACACGAGAAAUCUCGUCGGAAUCUGGGAGGACCAUCUCCCAACCCUAAAUACUCUCUAGUGACCGAUAGUGAACCAGUACCGUGAGGGAAAGGUGAAAAGCACCCCGGGAGGGGAGUGAAAUAGAACCUGAAACCGUGUGCCUACAACAAGUUCGAGCCCGUUAAUGGGUGAGAGCGUGCCUUUUGUAGAAUGAACCGGCGAGUUACGAUAUGAUGCGAGGUUAAGUUGAAGAGACGGAGCCGUAGGGAAACCGAGUCUUAAUAGGGCGCAUUAGUAUCAUGUCGUAGACCCGAAACCAUGUGACCUACCCAUGAGCAGGUUGAAGGUGAGGUAAAACUCACUGGAGGACCGAACCAGGGCACGUUGAAAAGUGCUUGGAUGACUUGUGGGUAGCGGAGAAAUUCCAAACGAACUUGGAGAUAGCUGGUUCUCUCCGAAAUAGCUUUAGGGCUAGCGUCGAUGUUAAGUCUCUUGGAGGUAGAGCACUGUUUGGGUGAGGGGUCCAUCCCGGAUUACCAAUCUCAGAUAAACUCCGAAUGCCAAUGAGAUAUAAUCGGCAGUCAGACUGCGAGUGCUAAGAUCCGUAGUCGAAAGGGAAACAGCCCAGACCACCAGCUAAGGUCCCAAAAUAUAUGUUAAGUGGAAAAGGAUGUGGGGUUGCACAGACAACUAGGAUGUUAGCUUAGAAGCAGCUAUUCAUUCAAAGAGUGCGUAAUAGCUCACUAGUCGAGUGACCCUGCGCCGAAAAUGUACCGGGGCUAAAACAUAUUACCGAAGCUGUGGAUACCUUUAUAGGUAUGGUAGGAGAGCGUUCUAUGUGCGAAGAAGGUGUACCGUGAGGAGUGCUGGAGCGCAUAGAAGUGAGAAUGCCGGUAUGAGUAGCGAAAGACAGGUGAGAAUCCUGUCCACCGUAAGACUAAGGUUUCCAGGGGAAGGCUCGUCCGCCCUGGGUUAGUCGGGACCUAAGGAGAGACCGAAAGGUGUAUCCGAUGGACAACAGGUUGAUAUUCCUGUACUAGAGUAUAUAGUGAUGGAGGGACGCAGUAGGCUAACUAAACCAGACGAUUGGAAGUGUCUGGCCAAGCAGUGAGGUGUGAUAUGAGUCAAAUGCUUAUAUCUUUAACAUUGAGCUGUGAUGGGGAGCGAAGUUUAGUAGCGAAGUUAGUGAUGUCACACUGCCGAGAAAAGCUUCUAGCGUUAAUUAUACUCUACCCGUACCGCAAACCGACACAGGUAGUCGAGGCGAGUAGCCUCAGGUGAGCGAGAGAACUCUCGUUAAGGAACUCGGCAAAAUGGCCCCGUAACUUCGGGAGAAGGGGCGCUGACUGAUGGUCAGCCGCAGUGAAUAGGCCCAAGCAACUGUUUAUCAAAAACACAGCUCUCUGCUAAAUCGUAAGAUGAUGUAUAGGGGGUGACGCCUGCCCGGUGCUGGAAGGUUAAGAGGAGUGCUUAGCGUAAGCGAAGGCAUGAAUUGAAGCCCCAGUAAACGGCGGCCGUAACUAUAACGGUCCUAAGGUAGCGAAAUUCCUUGUCGGGUAAGUUCCGACCCGCACGAAAGGCGUAAUGAUUUGGGCACUGUCUCAACGAGAGACUCGGUGAAAUUUUAGUACCUGUGAAGAUGCAGGUUACCCGCGACAGGACGGAAAGACCCCAUGGAGCUUUACUGCAGUUUGAUAUUGAGUAUCUGUACCACAUGUACAGGAUAGGUAGGAGCCUAUGACCUCGGGACGCCAGUUUCGAGUGAGGCGUUGUUGGGAUACUACCCUUGUGUUAUGGCUACUCUAACCCAGAUAGGUUAUCCCUAUCGGAGACAGUGUCUGACGGGCAGUUUGACUGGGGCGGUCGCCUCCUAAAAGGUAACGGAGGCGCCCAAAGGUUCCCUCAGAAUGGUUGGAAAUCAUUCGCAGAGUGUAAAGGUAUAAGGGAGCUUGACUGCGAGAGCUACAACUCGAGCAGGGACGAAAGUCGGGCUUAGUGAUCCGGUGGUUCCGCAUGGAAGGGCCAUCGCUCAACGGAUAAAAGCUACCCUGGGGAUAACAGGCUUAUCUCCCCCAAGAGUUCACAUCGACGGGGAGGUUUGGCACCUCGAUGUCGGCUCGUCGCAUCCUGGGGCUGUAGUAGGUCCCAAGGGUUGGGCUGUUCGCCCAUUAAAGCGGCACGCGAGCUGGGUUCAGAACGUCGUGAGACAGUUCGGUCCCUAUCCGUCGCGGGCGUAGGAAAUUUGAGAGGAUCUGCUCCUAGUACGAGAGGACCAGAGUGGACUUACCGCUGGUGUACCAGUUGUUCUGCCAAGAGCAUCGCUGGGUAGCUAUGUAGGGAAGGGAUAAACGCUGAAAGCAUCUAAGUGUGAAGCCCACCUCAAGAUGAGAUUUCCCAUGAUUUUAUAUCAGUAAGAGCCCUGAGAGAUGAUCAGGUUGAUAGGUUAGAAGUGGAAGUGUGGUGACACAUGUAGCGGACUAAUACUAAUAGCUCGAGGACUUAUCCAA
RNAcentral lists this ribosomal RNA (2898 nucleotides) under human gut metagenome. RNAcentral describes it as "bacterial LSU rRNA". It matches the Rfam family "Bacterial large subunit ribosomal RNA". The record is from RNAcentral.